RNAcentral lists this ribosomal RNA (505 nucleotides) under uncultured bacterium. Its description in RNAcentral is "partial 16S ribosomal RNA". It matches the Rfam family "Bacterial small subunit ribosomal RNA", at positions 28 to 507 of the family's 1533-position model. The record is from RNAcentral.
GACGAACGCUGGCGGCGUGCCUAAUACAUGCAAGUAGAACGCACAGUUUAUACCGUAGCUUGCUACACCAUAGACUGUGAGUUGCGAACGGGUGAGUAACGCGUAGGUAACCUGCCUGGUAGCGGGGGAUAACUAUUGGAAACGAUAGCUAAUACCGCAUAAUAUUAAUUAUUGCAUGAUAAUUAAUUGAAAGGUGCAAUUGCACCACUACCAGAUGGACCUGCGUUGUAUUAGCUAGUAGGUGAGGUAACGGCUCACCUAGGCGACGAUACAUAGCCGACCUGAGAGGGUGAUCGGCCACACUGGGACUGAGACACGGCCCAGACUCCUACGGGAGGCAGCAGUAGGGAAUCUUCGGCAAUAGACGAAAGUCUGACCGAGCAACGCCGCGUGAGUGAAGAAGGUUGUCGGAUCGUAAAGCUCUGUUGUAAGAGAAGAACGGGUGUGAGAGUGGAAAGUUCACACUGUGACGGUAUCUUACCAGAAAGGGACGGCUAACUACGUG